Long non-coding RNA from Cygnus atratus (black swan), 435 nucleotides. RefSeq lists it as uncharacterized. The record is from RefSeq and is a predicted model, not a curated record. Lineage: Eukaryota; Metazoa; Chordata; Aves; Anseriformes; Anatidae. The transcript has 3 exons.
CUCUGCAGUAAAAUGGUGGCUGCAUGGAAACUAUCCAGCACUUUGGACGUCCUGCAGAUUACUCCAAUUUCCUUAUCUUUCAGUCUGCAUCAAGUAAUAUUUGGAACAUUACAACUGAGAUGAAGAAAAACAGAAGAAGGAAAGCUAAGAGUACUUUGCAUUUUCCUUUAUCUUUUGGAAGUGCAAUGGCCAUCUUUACUUUGGAAGGAGUUCCAGAUGGAAAAUUAAAAGCUGCUUUAGAGUGCCAAGUUUGCAUUAUUUAAGAUGAAGGCAUGGACAUGUUUACAUCAGUGAGACUGAAGAAAAAGUCAAUGAUGCCAUGAGAAUUCAGAUGACUAAUUUGAAUUCUCCUCUUACUAGUUAUUGUUUAGCAUAUAGAGAUCAAACUUGUUUUAUAUUGUAAUAAUUAAGAAAAGAAAAAUAAACUACAAUAAA